This 738-nucleotide ribosomal RNA is filed under the name uncultured Russula. RNAcentral describes it as "partial 28S ribosomal RNA". It matches the Rfam family "Eukaryotic large subunit ribosomal RNA", at positions 216 to 962 of the family's 3401-position model. The record is from RNAcentral. Lineage: Eukaryota; Fungi; Basidiomycota; Agaricomycetes; Russulales; Russulaceae.
GAAUCCCGUCUUUGGCACGGAUGCACCAGGGCUUUCGUGAUGCGCUCUCGAAGAGUCGAGUUGUUUGGGGAUGCAGCUCAAAAUGGGUGGUGAACUCCAUCUAAAGCUAAAUAUUGGCGAGAGACCGAUAGCGAACAAGUACCGUGAGGGAAAGAUGAAAAGCACUUUGGAAAGAGAGUGAAACAGUACGUGAAAUUGUUGAAAGGGAAACGCUUGAAGUCAGUCGCGUCGACCGAGACUCAGCCUUGCCUCGGCUCGGUGUACUUCUCGGCCGACGGGUCAGCAUCAAUUUUGCCCCUCGGAUAAUGGCGAGAGAAAGGUGGCACCCUCACGGGUGUGUUAUAGUCUCCCGUCGGAUGCGAGGGUUGGGAUUGAGGAACUCGGCACGUACCGUGCUUAGGAUGUUGGCAUAAUGGCUUUAAACGACCCGUCUUGAAACACGGACCAAGGAGUCUAACAUGCCCGCGAGUGUUCGGGUGGAAAACCCGUGCGCGUAAUGAAAGUAAAAGUUGGGACCCCUGUCGUGGGGGGCACCGACGCCCGGACCAGACCUUCUGUGACGGAUCUGCGGUAGAGCGUGCAUGUUGGGACCCGAAAGAUGGUGAACUAUGCCUGAAUAGGGUGAAGCCAGAGGAAACUCUGGUGGAGGCUCGUAGCGAUUCUGACGUGCAAAUCGAUCGUCAAAUUUGGGUAUAGGGGCGAAAGACUAAUCGAACCAUCUAGUAGCUGGUUCCUGCC